CCUACGGGUGGCAGCAGUGGGGAAUAUUGGACAAUGGGGGGAACCCUGAUCCAGCCAUGCCGCGUGUGUGAAGAAGGCCCUCGGGUUGUAAAGCACUUUCAGUGAGGAAGAACGCCUGGUGGUUAAUACCCAUCAGGAAAGACAUCACUCACAGAAGAAGCACCGGCUAACUCCGUGCCAGCAGCCGCGGUAAUACGGAGGGUGCGAGCGUUAAUCGGAAUUACUGGGCGUAAAGCGCGCGUAGGUGGCUUGAUAAGCCGGUUGUGAAAGCCCCGGGCUCAACCUGGGAACGGCAUCCGGAACUGGCAAGCUAGAGUGCAGGAGAGGAAGGUAGAAUUCCCGGUGUAGCGGUGAAAUGCGUAGAGAUCGGGAGGAAUACCAGUGGCGAAGGCGGCCUUCUGGACUGACACUGACACUGAGGUGCGAAAGCGUGGGUAGCAAACAGGAUUAGAUACCCGUGUAGUC
RNAcentral lists this ribosomal RNA (465 nucleotides) under Vreelandella stevensii. RNAcentral describes it as "partial 16S ribosomal RNA". It matches the Rfam family "Bacterial small subunit ribosomal RNA", at positions 338 to 795 of the family's 1533-position model. The record is from RNAcentral. Lineage: Bacteria; Pseudomonadati; Pseudomonadota; Gammaproteobacteria; Oceanospirillales; Halomonadaceae.